CCUACGGGAGGCAGCAGUAGGGAAUCUUCCACAAUGGGCGAAAGCCUGAUGGAGCAACGCCGCGUGGGUGAUGAAGGUCUUCGGAUCGUAAAACUCUGUUGUUAGAGAAGAAAGUGCGUGAGAGUAACUGUUCACGUUUCGACGGUACCUAACCAGAAAGCAACGGCUAACUACGUGCCAGCAGCCGCGGUAAUACGUAGGUGGCAAGCGUUAUCCGGAUUUAUUGGGCGUAAAGGGAACGCAGGCGGUCUUUUAAGUCUGAUGUGAAAGCCUUCGGCUUAACCGGGGUAGUGCAUUGGAAACUGGGAGACUUGAGUGCAGAAGAGGAGAGUGGAACUCCAUGUGUAGCGGUGAAAUGCGUAGAUAUAUGGAAGAACACCAGUGGCGAAGGCGACUCUCUGGUCUGUAACUGACGCUGAGGUUCGAAAGCGUGGGUAGCAAACAGGAUUAGAUACCCCUGUAGUC
RNAcentral lists this ribosomal RNA (465 nucleotides) under uncultured bacterium. RNAcentral describes it as "partial 16S ribosomal RNA". It matches the Rfam family "Bacterial small subunit ribosomal RNA", at positions 338 to 795 of the family's 1533-position model. The record is from RNAcentral.